Molecule: ribosomal RNA, 434 nt
Filed under: uncultured bacterium
Lineage: Bacteria
Description: partial 16S ribosomal RNA
Rfam family: Bacterial small subunit ribosomal RNA
Source: RNAcentral
AGCGAACGCUGGCGGCAGGCCUAACACAUGCAAGUCGAACGAACCUUUCGGGGUUAGUGGCGGACGGGUGAGUAACACGUGGGAACGUGCCUUUAGGUUCGGAAUAACUCAGGGAAACUUGUGCUAAUACCGAAUGUGCCCUUCGGGGGAAAGAUUAAUCGCCUUUAGAGCGGCCCGCGUCUGAUUAGCUAGUUGGUUGAGGUAAUGGCUCACCAAGGCGACGAUCAGUAGCUGGUCUGAGAGGAUGAUCAGCCACAUUGGGACUGAGACACGGCCCAAACUGCUACGGGAGGCAGCAGUGGGGAAGCUUGCGCAAUGGGCGAAAGCCUGACGGAGCCAGGCCGGGUGAAUGAUGAAGGUGGUAGGAGGGGAAAAUUCUUUCACCGGGGACGAUAAUGACGGUACCCGGAGAAGAAGCCCCGGCUAACUUCGUG